AGCCGUUGGAUUUAAUCCAACGGCCUGGAUUAGAGAAGCCCUUCAACCUCGCUGGAAAUUACACUUUCCCCCUCACACUCACACUUUCCCCCUUCUCAUUUCAUUUACGGACAGACCAAAGAGAGAGAGAGAGAGAGAGAGAGAGAGAGAGAGGCGACGCGAACCAGAGAAGACGAACGAAGAGGAGAAGAUCGAAGACGAACGAAUAUCCACCCAAAGACGAACGAAGAUCCGCCGAGAUAUCUCUGUCAUCUUUUUCUCUCGGAAAAAAAAAAUUUCUGGAUCGGAAGGAAUAUUUUCUCAGAAAUUAGGGGUUUUUUUUUUUAGGACGAACGACGAAGAACAAAGAGGAGAAGAAGAACGAAGAAGAUCGACUGGAGAACGAGUUACACAUUCUUAAAGUGGAAAAGAGUUCGAACUAGACCAAAGAAGGAACGAAGAAGAAGAAAUGGAACAAGAAGAUAUUUCCAGCAUCAAUCCAUUUGGAUAUGUCAAAUAGAACUGUUUUACUGCUGCUCUCCUGCAGCAGUUUUGCUACUGUCUUCAUGCUAGUGUCUGACUAAUCUUGUUGUUGCUGCUAUUUUUUUGUGUUGGUUAUGGCCGCUGCUGUAAUGUUGUCUGCGUGGUGUAACCUAAGGCUACAAGCUGUUCUGCUGCUGUAUUAUAUGUUCUGUUGUUGUUCUCCUGUUGUCCGUGAGGUUCAUUUCUAGCUAUGGGGCUGUAUUCUCUUGAUAAGUGGAAUGGGCUGACUAAUCUCAAUGUGGAAUUGUUGUUCUUCUAUUUUUUGGAUGAUUGGGCUGACAACUCUCAUGUGGAAUGGUCUGUAUUCUCGGUUUGUUGGGUUGGUUUCAUGACUGACUAAUGGUACAUGUGUUGGAUUAUAAUUUGUAUUCUGAAGAUGGUUGACGGUGACGUACUUGAAGAUGGUAAAGUUUGAUUGUAUCAUUUUGAUUGGAUCAUAGUCCAAGUUCAUUUUUUGUUGAAUUUUCCUCUGUUUGUAUCAUCUCAAUUUGUGAGCCAAUAUCCUCAAACCAAUUAUGUGUAGUUCAUACUUUCCAUCUGUGGGGUAAAAGUUCUACGAUUGUUGUUUAA
Rhododendron vialii is the source of this 1092-nucleotide long non-coding RNA. RefSeq lists it as uncharacterized. The transcript has 2 exons. NCBI's taxonomy places the organism in Eukaryota, Viridiplantae, Streptophyta, Magnoliopsida, Ericales, Ericaceae. The record is from RefSeq and is a predicted model, not a curated record.